CAGGAAACAUGGACCUAUGUAGGUGCAUAUGAACAUUUAUCUAUUUCUGACCCAGAUUUCAAUCUAGGGGGUUCAGAUUUUUCUUUUUGUCUAUUUUGGUUUACACAAGCAAUUUUAAGGGGGUAUAUGGUCUAUGUGAUUUUGCAGCAAUUUGGGAGGCAAGACAAUCCCAAACAGUCCUCGGGGGCAAAAGUGUUUUUUAGCUUGUGUUUGGUACAGAGAAAGGAGAGCUGGAGUACAGAGGAAAGAGCCCGUGGAGAAGUAGCUUUGCUUUUUCACCAUUUUUGCUUGACAAGUGGCAACUUUCAUCCUAGCUCAGGCUUGACGAGGCAAAAACCGCAUAGGAGAGCCGUAGCGGGGAUUUUUGCAGAGCGGAUGGGCGGCGUGCCGUAAGGGACCAAAUUUUGCCUUUUUAGGAAAAGGGAGCCGGUACCUUUUUUGGGUGUGCACCCUGGCAUCCUUAUAGUGCAAGGGCACCCUGUAGCACAGUCCAUGUUUUUUUAGCUCUAUAUUAUCCAAUAUUCUUUGUUCUCUUGCACCCUGGGCACCCUUAUAGUGCAAGGGCACCCUGUAGCACAGUCCAUGUUUUUUUAACUCUAUAUUAUCCAAUAUUCUUUGUUCUCUUAAUGACUACACAACAAGUAUAUCCCUGCUGUUUGGGCACAGGAAAACGUCUGCUGAUGUGUGUGUAUAAAAUUGUUCUCUUCUUCAACGAAGGCUAGAGCAUGAGUGGAGAUGUCGGUGAUUGAUGCAACUGCUAAUAGCAUCCGCUUACCUUUGUGGAGAUUAUUAUUUGGAGGAGCAUCGGUAUGGUUAGCAAACUGUUCUCAACACAGUAAAAUUCCUUCAGUUUAUUUUUAUUUUUUGCGCAAAGUUUAUUUUUUAUUUGCCUGUGUUCAACGAGGAGCAUCAUCUAGCUACAGAGAGGCUCAUCAUGUAGGUGCUAUAUCAAUGAGGAUGAAGAUUAACCAGACAAUAUGUGUCUUUUUUUGUUCCUAAUAUGUUUAAGUCGAUAUUGUUCGGUGUUUUAUGUUACUUAUUCAUGGCAUUGCUGAGUUCUUCACAACCCUCCACAUCUGAUUCUAAUCCCCUUAUGCUGAAUCUUUGCAAUUUCUUUUAUUUCCUUACUCGAUAUAACGAAUUUAAUUUUAGAUAGUCGAGCUGAAGGCUUUGGACAAGUUUGUGGGCACAUGUGAUUCUCUUUCGGUUGUUACCCUGAUACCCUCCAUAUUGAUAUCAAGGUUAGCAAGGUCUGCACAAGUUAUUGCAGGGGCACGGUGAGGGUGAAAUAUUGGAUGUUGCUCAUUCCGAACUUCAAGUAGAAUUAUCGAUAUCUUAAUCCCGCUUACAAGUUUAAUGUGCAUUUUGAAGAAAAUUGGACUAUAUGGUAGAAUGAACCUAUUGACUAAGAAGCUAUACGACUAAUGGAUUAUCAUAUCAGAGAAAUACGAUGCAUACUAUCACCCAAUGGGUGCUUCCCUUAUUUAACCUCGUGCCAGUUUGCUAAAUUUGACCAAGGAGGAGCAAAUAUAGUGCAUUCGGCACGGAGAAGGUAAUUUUCCUAUGUAUCCUUGGUUUUUCUACGUGGUCCUAUUUAUUUGAAAUUGGUUAUUGUUUUCUUAGAUUUGACUGU
Molecule: long non-coding RNA, 1633 nt
Filed under: Brachypodium distachyon (stiff brome)
Lineage: Eukaryota; Viridiplantae; Streptophyta; Magnoliopsida; Poales; Poaceae
Description: long non-coding RNA (BDIS_LNC004817)
Source: RNAcentral